GGUGCAUGACGCGCUUGAUCGUCUCUUGCCUUGUGUGUCAACGCCAGUUCGCGAUCGAGGAAAACUCCAGGGUCAUGGUAGCUCGUCUACGGGUGAGUGAAUAGCCUUGGCAGAACUCAUUUGCGGACUGUUUCUUUCGUGUCUGGUUGCAGUGUCCUUGGCAUUCUGGAAGCUCGUCUUGGCUUGCCACUGGCGGGGGACCUGGGUGACUUGGGCAUUUCCCUGACACAAAGACGAUGACUAAAUGGUUCUAUUCGACCCGUCUUGAAACACGGACCAAGGAGUCUAACAUAUGUGCGAGUCCACGGGUGGUAAACCUGCUGGCGCAGUGAAAGCGACUGCUGGGAUCUUUGCACCAGCAACCGACCAAUCAAUUGAGAGAGGUUUGAGUAUGAGCAUAUCUGUUAGGACCCGAAAGAUGGUGAACUAUGCCUGAGAAGGGCAAACUCAGGGGAAACUCUGAUGGAGGCUCGUAGCGAUACUGACGU
RNAcentral lists this ribosomal RNA (488 nucleotides) under Prorocentrum cordatum. RNAcentral describes it as "partial large subunit ribosomal RNA". It matches the Rfam family "Eukaryotic large subunit ribosomal RNA", at positions 459 to 892 of the family's 3401-position model. The record is from RNAcentral. Lineage: Eukaryota; Dinophyceae; Prorocentrales; Prorocentraceae.